Molecule: ribosomal RNA, 331 nt
Filed under: uncultured Pseudomonas sp.
Lineage: Bacteria; Pseudomonadati; Pseudomonadota; Gammaproteobacteria; Pseudomonadales; Pseudomonadaceae
Description: bacterial SSU rRNA
Rfam family: Bacterial small subunit ribosomal RNA
Source: RNAcentral
GUCGUCAGCUCGUGUCGUGAGAUGUUGGGUUAAGUCCGUAACGAGCGCAACCCUUGUCCUUAGUUACCAGCACGUUAUGGUGGGGCACUCUAAGGAGACUGCCGGUGACAAACCGAGGAAGGUGGGGAUGACGUCAAGUCAUCAUGGCCCUUACGGCCUGGGCUACACACGUGCUACAAUGGUCGGUACAAAGGGUUGCCAAGCCGCGAGGUGGAGCUAAUCCCAUAAAACCGAUCGUAGUCCGGAUCGCAGUCUGCAACUCGACUGCGUGAAGUCGGAAUCGCUAGUAAUCGUGAAUCAGAAUGUCACGGUGAAUACGUUCCCGGGCCUU